Maniola jurtina (meadow brown) is the source of this 174-nucleotide long non-coding RNA. RefSeq lists it as uncharacterized. The transcript has 3 exons. NCBI's taxonomy places the organism in Eukaryota, Metazoa, Arthropoda, Insecta, Lepidoptera, Nymphalidae. The record is from RefSeq and is a predicted model, not a curated record.
UCGAACCGCUAGGAUUUGGAACGGCCUUCCAGCAUCAGUUUUCACCACCAAUUGUAAUAUGGGUAUCUUCAAGUCAAGAGUGAAUAGGUAUCUUCUAGGCAAGCGCGCUCUUAGGCUGCUGCUUUGCCACCAGGUCUGAUCGCAACAGCUAAUAUCUAUAGUCUAUAAUAUAAA